Mercenaria mercenaria is the source of this 894-nucleotide long non-coding RNA. RefSeq lists it as uncharacterized. NCBI's taxonomy places the organism in Eukaryota, Metazoa, Mollusca, Bivalvia, Venerida, Veneridae. The record is from RefSeq and is a predicted model, not a curated record. The transcript is spliced from 3 exons.
AGUACGACAAAUUAAUUGUUUGUUUCAUGUGUGAUUACUGGCACCUGUUUUACAUUACAAUAAAAUUAUACAUUAUUAUUUUAAUCUUUGCAAUUUUUUUAAACAGGUUUUCCCGCCACAUAUUAGGAACAAAUAAUUUACGAGCCUAUAAUCACAUGAAAGGGCAAAAAAGCAUUUGAAUGCUUCGGCUAUCUUGACAUGUUUUUCGUUUUUUCAAGACAGCUGUGCGUUUCUUCGACUUAUUCCUUACUUCUGCACACGACAAGACAAAUGUAUACGUUAGUGCAAAACCAUCACUGUACAUAUGAUACGACAAAAUCAAAUUUUACAGCAUCAAAAAUUAAAAUCAAUGAUUUCGUCUGGUAGCGAAAAUUAUAUCAACCGACAAAAUCACUUAUACACUCAUACGAAGACAUCCUUAAAACAUCCGUAACGAUUAAUGUUUCACGAUACUUGUUUUAAAACUUCCUUGUAGUUUGUAAACCGUCCGAAUUGAUGUUGCAAACGAAAUAAUUUUCGUGUAAAAACAUGGACGUGUAUUUAUGUUUUCCUUUGGUCUUUUUUUCAUGUAUCCAAGCUUCCUGGUGUUAUUUUGUUUCAAAAACAACUGCAGCAUGGACAGAACAGUACGCUGAGUGUAAGAUGGCGACACCUACAAUACAAUAUGAGAGACUUGAACUCAAUGUAACUAUUGAUCAACAGUUCCAAUAUGACGACUUAUGGGUAGGAUACUACGAGCACAUGGCCUUAUUCGAUUACAUUGGUUGUAUCAAAACCCGAAACGUCCAGCCGAUACUAGCAACUAUACAACUUGGUGUACCGACCCCAGGGCGAUGCUAUUCGGCAUGUGCAUACACACAAUACAUUGGGAUAAACAUACGUGAGGUAAAAUGC